This 161-nucleotide small nuclear RNA is filed under the name Glossina brevipalpis. RNAcentral's name for it is "U1 spliceosomal RNA". It matches the Rfam family "U1 spliceosomal RNA". From Rfam's summary of the family: U1 is a small nuclear RNA (snRNA) component of the spliceosome (involved in pre-mRNA splicing). Its 5' end forms complementary base pairs with the 5' splice junction, thus defining the 5' donor site of an intron. Lineage: Eukaryota; Metazoa; Arthropoda; Insecta; Diptera; Glossinidae. The record is from RNAcentral.
AUGCUACGAUCAUGGGUCACUUUGAUCAUAAAAACGGUUCUUCCGGAGUGAGGAUUGGUCAUAGCACUUUCGGGUGAGUUGACCUCCGCGAUUAUUACUAAUGCGAGUAACUGGUGCGUGUAAUUUUUGAUAGCCGGGAAUGGAGUACGCGCCUUGUUUAG